CUGAAUUUUGACGUAAUUUCUUCUGAUGUAGCUAGCAGGUUGUGGAGGUGUAUUUGAAUGUAGGCAGCACCCUGACUGCGAUUAGGAUGUCCUCCGUCUGCUAGUCUUCUUUGAUCCUUGAAUUCUGUGGAGCUCAAAUAGAUAGCAAAGCUUUGUGGAACUGGUUAAGUGCCAGCAUAAAAAUCUCUUUGCCUUUAUCAUGUUGAGCUUCCUCUAAUAAAUAUUACUCUCUUUGGUAGGAUCAUAAGUUUAUUUUUAUAUUUCCAUUUUUAUAGGACAGGAAUAUAUUUAUUUUAUUUUUACGCCACCACAGUGAAUGUACUUUUGGGUUUUAUGCCACGAGCAUACUCACAUGGGGCUUACUAUUUUAUGAUGCAGUGCAACGAACAAUUAUUUUUGUUUUCUUUUUCUAAUGCUAAUGUGGAAAAGUAAAUAUGCUAAUGCAAGUGAUGGAAUAAAAAGGAAAAGGAAUGCAGAAAAGAUAAAUAUGGAUAAAUACUGAUUUUUCCUUCCAGCAAGGAUCCAAUUUUUUAAGUCUUCUGGACAAGACUACUCACCGUGUUCAUUGUUUAGGUGCGUCUUUCGAUUCAGGUGUGGACCUUGACGUCUGCACCUCUUGAUACGGUGUCACCCAUGUUCUUCGUUUGCCCAGUAGUUCGAAGUGCGGUGUUAGCAGCAUCCUGCUUAGUGUGUUUGUGCUUGUAGAUAUAGGUCUUUCACUUGGUGGAAUCUGGGAGUUGUAAAACUCCACCAUGUUUUGCUCCAAGUGUACCUGCUCAUAGAGACAAGGCAGAGAUCAAGUGCAUGGGUCCUGUUGGUGGAAAACACCAACAGAACCAAAAGUAUAUUUAUUCUUCUCUAUCUUUAAGCAUAGGGAGCAAGACAAAUUUGAUGGAUAAUAAGAUCAUGAGUGUAGUAUUUAAAUAAUUUGUUAGAUCAUAUCGCUCAACUAAUGGAAAGAUAAUCUAUCUAUAUUAAUGUUUUAUAUAUAUAUAUCUUCCAAAGAUUGAGUAUGCAAUAUUUUAGCUCAUAUGAUUAGGAGUGUGGGAUCACAAAGGUGGAAGGACUAAACAUGUUGAAUCGAUUGGGUU
This 1091-nucleotide long non-coding RNA is filed under the name Sorghum bicolor (sorghum). RNAcentral's name for it is "long non-coding RNA (SBIC_LNC008787)". The record is from RNAcentral. Lineage: Eukaryota; Viridiplantae; Streptophyta; Magnoliopsida; Poales; Poaceae.